This 64-nucleotide transfer RNA is filed under the name Rattus norvegicus (Norway rat). It matches the Rfam family "tRNA". Rfam says of the family: Transfer RNA (tRNA) molecules are approximately 80 nucleotides in length. Their secondary structure includes four short double-helical elements and three loops (D, anti-codon, and T loops). The record is from Rfam by way of RNAcentral. Lineage: Eukaryota; Metazoa; Chordata; Mammalia; Rodentia; Muridae.
GGGGAUUUAGCUCAGUGGUAGAGAGCGCUUGCCUAGGAAGCACAAGGCCCUGGUUCAAUCCCCA